Molecule: long non-coding RNA, 153 nt
Organism: Bufo bufo (common toad)
Lineage: Eukaryota; Metazoa; Chordata; Amphibia; Anura; Bufonidae
Exons: 3
Source: RefSeq, a predicted model, not a curated record
GAUUUUCAUGCAACGCAGAAGUGAUGCGUGAAAAUCACCGCUCAUGUGAACAGCCCCAUAUAAAUGAAUGGGUCCGGAUUCAGUGCGGGUGCUAUGCGUUCACGUCACGCAUCGUACCCACGUGGAAAACUCACUCAUGUGAAAGGAGCGUUA